GAGUUUGAUCCUGGCUCAGAACGAACGCUGGCGGCAGGCCUAAGACAUGCAAGUCGAACGAUAUAGUGGCAGACGGGUGAGUAACGCGUGGAAACGUGCCCUUUAGUAAGGAAUAGCUCCUGGAAACGGGUGGUAAUACCUUAUAAUCCCUCCGGGGAAAAGAUUUAUCGCUAAAGGAUCGGUCCGCGUUAGAUUAGCUAGUUGGUGUGGUAAUGGCGCACCAAGGCGACGAUCUAUAGCUGGUCUGAGAGGAUGAUCAGCCACACUGGGACUGAGACACGGCCCAGACUCCUACGGGAGGCAGCAGUCGGGAAUAUUGCACAAUGGGCGAAAGCCUGAUGCAGCCAUGCCGCGUGAAUGAUGAAGGCCCUAGGGUUGUAAAAUUCUUUCACCGGGGAAGAUAAUGACGGUACCCGGAGAAGAAGCUCCGGCUAACUUCGUGCCAGCAGCCGCGGUAAUACGAAGGGAGCUAGCGUUGUUCGGAAUUACUGGGCGUAAAGCGCGCGUAGGCGGAUUUGUAAGUUGGAUGUGAAAUCCCAGGGCUCAACCUUGGAACUGCAUUCAAAACUGCAAGUCUAGAGGACAGGAGAGGCAAGUGGAAUUCCGAGUGGAGAGGUGAAAUUCACAGAUAUUCGGAGGAACACCGGUGGCGAAGGCGACUUGCUGGACUGUUUCUGACGCUGAGGUGCGAAAGUGUGGGUAGCAAACAGGAUUAGAUACCCUGGUAGUCCACACCGUAAACGAUGAGUGCUAGUUGUUGGCAGGUAUACCUGUCGGUGACGCAGCUAACGCAUUAAGCACUCCGCCUGGGGAGUACGGUCGCAAGAUUAAAACUCAAAGAAAUUGACGGGGGCCCGCACAAGCGGUGGAGCAUGUGGUUUAAUUCGAUGCAACGCGAAGAACCUUACCUACACUUGACAUCCUCGGACGUAUCCAGAGAUGGUGACCUCCCUUCGGGGCCGAGUGACAGGUGCUGCAUGGCUGUCGUCAGCCCGUGUCGUGAGAUGUUGGGUUAAGUCCCGCAACGAGCGCAACCCUUACCUUUAGUUGCCAGCAGGUCUGGCUGGGCACUCUAGAGGAACUGCCGGUGAUAAGCCGGAGGAAGGUGGGGACGACGUCAAGUCAUCAUGGCCCUUAUGUGUAGGGCUACACACGUGCUACAAUGGCGGUGACAGAGGGGCAAUCCCCAAAAACCGUCUCAGUUCAGAUUGUCUGCUGCAACUCGCAGGCAUGAAGUCGGAAUCGCUAGUAAUCGUGGAUCAGCAUGCCACGGUGAAUACGUUCUCGGGCCUUGUACACACCGCCCGUCACAUCAUGGGAGUUGGUUCUACCCGAAGAUGGUGAGCUAACCUUUGAGGCAGCCAGCCACGGUAGGAUCAGCGACUAGGAUGAAGUCGUAACAAG
Molecule: ribosomal RNA, 1404 nt
Filed under: uncultured bacterium
Lineage: Bacteria
Description: 16S ribosomal RNA
Rfam family: Bacterial small subunit ribosomal RNA
Source: RNAcentral